This 2098-nucleotide unclassified non-coding RNA is filed under the name Hevea brasiliensis (rubber tree). Lineage: Eukaryota; Viridiplantae; Streptophyta; Magnoliopsida; Malpighiales; Euphorbiaceae. The record is from RNAcentral.
UUAAAUAAUUAAUUUCUCAAAAUUAAAAAACUAUAAGGCAAUAUAAAAUAAAACCCCAAUGAUAAAAUUGUAAUUUUUUAUUUUUUUUGGGGUUGAGGAAUACAAGUAAAGAUUUAUCACUUCUCUCUUCCAUGGCACGCAAAUCAACUAGGUGCCCUCUUAUAGAGCUGACAAAUAAGAAGCAACUCUACCCUUCCAUAGUUCCAUUAAUAACCUCCCUCCAAUUGUUACAUUGGUUAUAUGAAGCCACUUUCACAACUUUGCAGCCUUGUAUCCACCUGAUAAUGUACUAUAAAUUAUAUAGUUGAUUGGGAGCCUGCAACUGGUCUGGGAUUAAUGCCAGCUUGUUCGGACAGGGCAGUCUCAUUAUUGAUGAACCAGAUCAUGGCGGAGGCCAGAGAGGCCUUCCAAUAAUGACAAGAAAAUGCAAGAUGUACAGUAAAACCAGUUUAAAAAUUGCAGCUUCUCAUAACAAUUCCAUACACACACACAUACACGUAUAUUGAUGAUUAUGUUUGUUUAUGUGUCUGCAGCAGCAACCAGUCAGUGCUACUUCAAGAUCUACAUUGUGCAAAUGUGUGCUCACGAUACCAGGUUGUUUUUCAUAAAGAAAAUGCCAUGCUUAAUUAUAAAUAAAGCAUUGACUAAACCAAAAUCCUUACACCAGACUUAAUAGCAAGUAGAUCUUCCCUGACGACUUUCUUCCAGACCACAUGAGGAUUAAUCACCAUGAGCGCGUUUUCCUUUGAUUAGUGAAGAACCAACUUGGGGACUCUGCCUAGCUGUCAAGCAUGAUGCCAAUUAGCAUGAUGCCAAUUCCUGGAGUUUUGAUUUGAUUUCUUUCCUAUUUUAGCAGUUCCAGCUCACUGGAAUGAAAUCUGUUCUAUCUGAGCCCUGAGGCUUCCAAUAAUAAGAUUUCAACCAAUAAAUUGCCAUGGCAAAUGUCAAUCAGUGUAUGAGGAAUACCAAUAGCAGCUGCCUCGGCAAUUGAAAUUUCAGUUUUCUCCGGGUCUUCUCAACAACGCAGUUCACAAGCCUCAGGAUAGCCAUGCGAUAUAGCAUGGCGAGCAUUUGCUCUGAAUGUAUAGCAUCUCUUGAUAGGUCCUUUCUACAAUGAGGGUGAAAAGGAAUAUUAUUUGUGUUAUCUAAAAAUUAAUUCAUACAGAAGUGCAGAUUACAAUAACCUUCAAACAACAGAACUGACCUGUUUUAAAGAGCAAUUGCCUUCUCAUUUAUUUAUUUAGUUCUGCUUGAAUUUGGGCUUCUUGAAGAAAGAAAAUCUUCUUAAAAGUGAACCUAUAAAGAACCUAACUUUGCCAAAUUGGGAAUAAAGAAAUUAACUAUAGAAAGGAUCCUAUUGCUGAAUUUCGAUGAUUGAAGCUGUGACAUCAAUCACAACGGGUAGACAUCCUCUGCUUCGCCAUGUCGAUAUCUAAAGCAGAAAACCAAUUUCUAUUGACAGACAAAUCCAGAAAUAAGCCAUUUAUACAGAACAAUGCCGAGAAAUUUAUCGAUUUUCUAGGGAAACAAAGAGAUCAAAUAGCGAUAGAAAGACUGGGAUCUUACCCUUUUAAUGGCAGAGACUAUCUUGUCUGGAGAAUCAGAAAAUUGGGAAAUAUAGAAUACACCUAAGUCGGUAGACACUGCGUCCAUAUACCCGGACUGCGGACAGGACUAACGGUGGGAAGAUCAUACUAGCAGACCGGUCGGGUAUGAUAAUUACGAGUGCACUAAGUUGUAGCUGAUUCCCGGUAUCACCAAACAUCACAGUUCAACCAAGGCACCAACUUGUAGCUAUUCGAUGAUGAUGAUUUCAGUUGGUCGUCAGCAUCAACGACCAGAGUUUCCUCCUCGAAUCCUAAUAGUGACUCCAUUGAAGAAGCAACCACUAGCAGCUUCUUCAAGACUACAAUAACUAAAAACACGAUCCUUUUUUCAAUAUCUGUUAGGGCAGAGGAAUGCUGCUGCUUGCAAUUUACAGACUUUUCAUCGUAGACUCACUCUGAUCAGGAUUCGGAAACUUGCAGUUGCUCUAAACCCUAUUGUACCCCGCCAUUUUUCCCCUUUUGUGUUACGAACGACUGAAGGCUAUGCCGUU